GAGAAAGUUUCCUUCGGGAAAUUAGUAAAGUGGCGCAAGGGUGAGUAUCACGUGAAUAAUCUGCCCUCGAGAUCGGGAUAACAUGGUGAAAACUAUGCUAAUACCGGAUAAGACCACAUUUCAUAAGAAAUGCGGUAAAAGAAGUCUCAAUCUUCACUCGAGGAUGAGUUCGCGCAACAUUAGCUUGUUGGUAAGAUAAAAGCUUACCAAGGCUACGAUGUUUAGCCGGCCUGAGAGGGUGAACGGCCACACUGGAACUGAGACACGGUCCAGACUCCUACGGGAGGCAGCAGUGGGGAAUAUUGCGCAAUGGGCGAAAGCCUGACGCAGCAACGCCGUGUGAGCGAUGAAGGGCUUUAGAGUCGUAAAAGCUCUGUCAAAUGGGAAGAAUUUCUGACGGUACCAUUAGAGGAAGCCCCGGCUAACUCCGUGCCAGCAGCCGCGGUAAUACGGAGGGGGCAAGCGUUGUUCGGAAUUAUUGGGCGUAAAGCGUAUGUAGGCGGCUAAGUAAGUCAGGCGUGCAAGCCCGUGGCUCAACCACGGAAUUGCGUUUGAAACUACUUAGCUUGAGUACAGGAGAGGAAAGCGGAAUUCCCAGUGUAGCGGUGAAAUGCAUUGAUAUUGGGAAGAACAUCUGUGGCGAAGGCGGCUUUCUGGUCUGUUACUGACGCUGAGAUACGAAAGCCAGGGUAGCGAACGGGAUUAGAUACCCCGGUAGUCCUGGCUGUAAACGAUGGGCACUAGGUGGAGGAGGUAUCGAUCCCCUCUCUGCCGUAGCUAACGC
RNAcentral lists this ribosomal RNA (784 nucleotides) under uncultured bacterium. Its description in RNAcentral is "bacterial SSU rRNA". It matches the Rfam family "Bacterial small subunit ribosomal RNA", at positions 68 to 858 of the family's 1533-position model. The record is from RNAcentral.